RNAcentral lists this small nuclear RNA (107 nucleotides) under Mandrillus leucophaeus (drill). The record is from RNAcentral. Lineage: Eukaryota; Metazoa; Chordata; Mammalia; Primates; Cercopithecidae.
GUGCUCGCUUUGGCAGCGCAUUUACUAAAAUUGGAAUGACACUGAGAAGAUUAGCAUGGCCCCUGCACAAGAAUGACACACAAAUUUGUGAAGCGUUACAUAUUUUU